Molecule: long non-coding RNA, 291 nt
Organism: Lolium rigidum
Lineage: Eukaryota; Viridiplantae; Streptophyta; Magnoliopsida; Poales; Poaceae
Exons: 4
Source: RefSeq, a predicted model, not a curated record
GUUACCUCAAUUGUUAAAAAUUGAGCCAGCGUACGAAGACUAGAGAGCCUAAUCAAGAGGACCAAGAGGAUGUUGUGGAGGCAUCAUUAGUGCGAACGACGAUCGAUGGAUCUCGAGACAGAAGCCAACAAAGCUGGUACUGACGAGGGCAUGCAGGUUUGUUUAUGGUGGUCAAGCGCAGUUUUUUAAUGGUGAGACCCGUUCGGAACCAAGGCAUUGAAACAAUGGUGUUGCUGAUAGUGUUGGUGAGAAUUGCGACGCCUCACAGUUCCUAGCGGGAUGGCAUCGACC